AUACGUAGGUGGCAAGCGUUGUCCGGAAUUAUUGGGCGUAAAGCGCAUGUAGGCGGUGCCUUAAGUCUGUCGUGAAACUGCGGGGCCUAACCCCGUAUGGCGAUGGAAACUGGGGCACUUGAGUGCAGGAGAGGAAAGGGGAACUCCCAGUGUAGCGGUGAAAUGCGUAGAUAUUGGGAAGAACACCGGUGGCGAAGGCGCCUUUCUGGACUGUGUCUGACGCUGAGAUGCGAAAGCCAGGGUAGCGAACGGGAUUAGAUACCCCGGUAGUCCUGGCCGUAAACGAUGGGUACUAGGUGUGGGAGGUAUCGACCCCUUCCGUGCCGGAGUUAACGCAAUAAGUACCCCGCCUGGGGAGUACGGCCGCAAGGCUUAAACUCAAAGGAAUUGACGGGG
This 396-nucleotide ribosomal RNA is filed under the name uncultured bacterium. RNAcentral describes it as "partial 16S ribosomal RNA". It matches the Rfam family "Bacterial small subunit ribosomal RNA", at positions 523 to 918 of the family's 1533-position model. The record is from RNAcentral.